RNAcentral lists this ribosomal RNA (495 nucleotides) under uncultured bacterium. RNAcentral describes it as "bacterial SSU rRNA". It matches the Rfam family "Bacterial small subunit ribosomal RNA", at positions 95 to 606 of the family's 1533-position model. The record is from RNAcentral.
GUGGCGAAAGGGUGAGUAACACGUGAGCAACCUGCCCCCGAGUCUGGAAUAAGCGAUGGAAACGUCGUCUAAUACCGGAUGAGGACUGGGGUCUCCUGACUCCAACUCCAAAGAUUUAUCGCUUGGGGAUGGGCUCGCGUCCCAUUAGCUAGUUGGCGGGGUAAUGGCCCACCAAGGCUGUGACGGGUAGGUGGACUGAGAGGUUGGUCACCCACACUGGGACUGAGACACUGCCCAGACUCCUACGGGAGGCUGCAGUCGAGAAUCUUCCGCAAUGGGCGCAAGCCUGACGGAGCGAUGCCGCGUGAGGGAAGAAGGCCUUCGGGUUGUAAACCUCUGUCACCCGGGACGAAAACAAUGACGGUACCGGGAGAGGAAGUCACGGCUAACUACGUGCCAGCAGCCGCGGUAAUACGUAGGCGGCGAGCGUUAUUCGGAUUCACUGGGCGUAAAGGGUCCGCAGGGGGCCUGCCAAGUCUGUCGUGAAAUCCCGGG